Prosopis cineraria is the source of this 778-nucleotide long non-coding RNA. RefSeq lists it as uncharacterized. The record is from RefSeq and is a predicted model, not a curated record. NCBI's taxonomy places the organism in Eukaryota, Viridiplantae, Streptophyta, Magnoliopsida, Fabales, Fabaceae. The transcript has 3 exons.
AGAUAGUGUAGCUAACUCUACGCCUUCAGCGGAUCAUUAAGAGGCCAUUUGCCUUUUUGGGAAAGAGAAGUCAUAUUGCGAUUAUUGUUUUGCUUUAAAUGCUGGUCCAAAGGAGAAUCAAGUUACCCAAGAAUGUAAGAGAAAGAAUUUAUGAAGAAAGUGAUUCUAUGCCACAUACCGUAGUGCAUGUGUGACAACACACACGCUUGGGAGAGGCUCUCUGUGCCAUGCACCUUGACUCAUUGUGCAUUCACCCAUGACAUAUGGUCAGAUUUUUACUGUAUUAAGUUGCAAAACUGAAGCAAAAGAGAGGAGAAAAACGAAGGGAAUUGAGAGAGACGAAAGAGCUAAGCUUGGGCUUGAAGAAACUGACUUAUAAGAGUAAUUUAAAACUCAUAAACACUAAAGGAAAUAGCUCAAGAAGUGUGGACAGAGGAUAACAUCCAAAGGCUUAGGACUGCGAUCCUAUUAUAGUAGGCCUCUUUAUUUUGAGUAUUUAUAUGUGUAUGUGUAUGUCAAUUUCAAUUGUCAAUUAGUAAUUCUCAUUUAAUCCUUACUUGCAUUAUGUAAAUUGUAAAUUGUAAGUGUAUUUUAGGCCCUAGGGAGUGAGUUGAUGAUAUAUGUUAUUUGUGAUAGGGCCAACAUACUAAUGCAAGUAAGAGCAGAGCAUAUUAUGAGAUAAUUAUAAAGUGACUUGAUGAAAAUUGUGGUAAACUCUCCCUUGUAUGCUUUUGAGAUUAAGGGAUUGAGUAGUGAAAUUUGAUCUGUGAGUAUUUCA